UACGUAGGGUGCGAGCGUUAAUCGGAAUUACUGGGCGUAAAGCGUGCGCAGGCGGUUUUAUAAGACAGAUGUGAAAUCCCCGGGCUUAACCUGGGAACGGCGUUUGUGACUGUAAGACUAGAGUGUAGCAGAGGGGGGUGGAAUUCCACGUGUAGCAGUGAAAUGCGUAGAUAUGUGGAGGAACAUCGAUGGCGAAGGCAGCCCCUGGGUUAGCACUGACGCUCAUGCACGAAAGCGUGGGGAGCAAACAGGAUUAGAAACCCG
RNAcentral lists this ribosomal RNA (264 nucleotides) under uncultured bacterium. Its description in RNAcentral is "partial 16S ribosomal RNA". It matches the Rfam family "Bacterial small subunit ribosomal RNA", at positions 524 to 788 of the family's 1533-position model. The record is from RNAcentral.